CCCUUAGAUGUUCGGGGCCGCACGCGCGCUACACUGAAGGAAUCAGCACGUCUUUCACCUUGUCCGAAAGGACUGGGUAACCCGCUGAACCUCCUUCGUGCUAGGGAUUGGGGCUUGUAAUUCUUCCCCAUGAACGAGGAAUUCCCAGUAAGCGCGAGUCAUAAGCUCGCGUUGAUUACGUCCCUGCCCUUUGUACACACCGCCCGUCGCUACUACCGAUUGGAUGGUUUAGUGAGAUCCUCGGAUUGGUCCCGGCGCGGCCUCUGGUCGUGCCGGAGUGCCGAAAAGAAUGUCGAACUUGAUCAUCUAGAGGAAGUAAAAGUCGUAACA
Molecule: ribosomal RNA, 330 nt
Filed under: uncultured eukaryote
Lineage: Eukaryota
Description: partial 18S ribosomal RNA
Rfam family: Eukaryotic small subunit ribosomal RNA
Source: RNAcentral